RNAcentral lists this ribosomal RNA (301 nucleotides) under uncultured bacterium. Its description in RNAcentral is "partial 16S ribosomal RNA". It matches the Rfam family "Bacterial small subunit ribosomal RNA", at positions 509 to 807 of the family's 1533-position model. The record is from RNAcentral.
CAGUAGCCGCGGGAAUACGUAGGGUGCAAGCGUUAAUCGGAAUUACUGGGCGUAAAGCGUGCGCAGGCGGUUUGUUAAGACAGAUGUGAAAUCCCCGGGCUCAACCUGGGAACUGCAUUUGUGACUGGCAAGCUAGAGUGUGGCAGAGGGGGGUGGGAUUCCGCGUGUAGCAGUGAAAUGCGUAGAUAUGCGGAGGAACACCGAUGGCGAAGGCAGCCCCCUGGGCCAACACUGAUGCUCAUGCACGAAAGCGUGGGGAGCAAACAGGAUUAGAUACCCCGGUAGUCCCUGUCUCUUAUAC